Molecule: small RNA, 70 nt
Filed under: Xanthomonas vasicola
Lineage: Bacteria; Pseudomonadati; Pseudomonadota; Gammaproteobacteria; Lysobacterales; Lysobacteraceae
Description: sX9 sRNA
Rfam family: Xanthomonas sRNA sX9
Source: RNAcentral
AUGUACCACUCGUACACUCCGGUUCCUGUGCGCCGCCCGCACCCACCUGACGACUGCUCCUUCGUCAGCG